Molecule: long non-coding RNA, 471 nt
Organism: Triplophysa rosa
Lineage: Eukaryota; Metazoa; Chordata; Actinopteri; Cypriniformes; Nemacheilidae
Exons: 6
Source: RefSeq, a predicted model, not a curated record
GGCGGGAAUUCGUGACCUUAUUGUUAGCAUUGUUUGUGACCCCAUCGGAUUUCCUUGCUACGCGAAGUUAAUACUGUACAUGAUGGACUUUGAGGAAGAGUUGAUGAGUGCUGAUGAGCUUCUUGAAAGCUUACGAGCUCAAGAGGCGACACUAGUUAAAAGCUCUAAGCAACCUCCACCUUCAACACCAACUGUUCAGUGGAGAAAAAGAGACAGCUAAGGUGAAGUUAUUUACAAACAUUCAAGGGCCAGAAGAGCAACUGUAAAAAGAAAAAGUGGCCACCACAACAAAAAUUCUGCUGGUCCACUUGUUCCUGAAAAUGAUGUUGGCCCUGCAGAAGCCUGUGUAACAGCUGAUGGUAUUCUUGAAUAGCUACACAGGCUGUUGGACACUCAGGAGGAUGAUGCUAAUGAUAUCCUCAUUCAAGAUCAUCAUACUCCUUCUGCAUCCAAUGACUGGGCCAUCAGAAC